GAGAGUUUGAUCCUGGCUCAGAGUGAACGCUGGCGGUAGGCCUAACACAUGCAAGUCGAACGGCAGCACAGGAGAGCUUGCUCUCUGGGUGGCGAGUGGCGGACGGGUGAGGAAUACAUCGGAAUCUACUUUUUCGUGGGGGAUAACGUAGGGAAACUUACGCUAAUACCGCAUACGACCUACGGGUGAAAGCAGGGGAUCUUCGGACCUUGCGCGAUUGAAUGAGCCGAUGUCGGAUUAGCUAGUUGGCGGGGUAAAGGCCCACCAAGGCGACGAUCCGUAGCUGGUCUGAGAGGAUGAUCAGCCACACUGGAACUGAGACACGGUCCAGACUCCUACGGGAGGCAGCAGUGGGGAAUAUUGGACAAUGGGCGCAAGCCUGAUCCAGCCAUACCGCGUGGGUGAAGAAGGCCUUCGGGUUGUAAAGCCCUUUUGUUGGGAAAGAAAUCCAGCUGGCUAAUACCCGGUUGGGAUGACGGUACCCAAAGAAUAAGCACCGGCUAACUUCGUGCCAGCAGCCGCGGUAAUACGAAGGGUGCAAGCGUUACUCGGAAUUACUGGGCGUAAAGCGUGCGUAGGUGGUCGUUUAAGUCCGUUGUGAAAGCCCUGGGCUCAACCUGGGAACUGCAGUGGAUACUGGACGACUAGAGUGUGGUAGAGGGUAGCGGAAUUCCUGGUGUAGCAGUGAAAUGCGUAGAGAUCAGGAGGAACAUCCAU
RNAcentral lists this ribosomal RNA (717 nucleotides) under uncultured bacterium. RNAcentral describes it as "bacterial SSU rRNA". It matches the Rfam family "Bacterial small subunit ribosomal RNA", at positions 8 to 713 of the family's 1533-position model. The record is from RNAcentral.